AUUGAACGCUGGCGGCAGGCCUAACACAUGCAAGUCGAGCGAGUGGCGGACGGGUGAGUAAUGUCUGGGGAACUGCCCGAUGGAGGGGGAUAACUACUGGAAACGGUAGCUAAUACCGCCUACCAUCGGAUGAUCCCAGAUGGGAUUAGCUGGUAGGUGGGGUAACGGCUCACCAAGGCGACGAUCCCUAGCUGGUCUGAGAGGAUGACCAGCCACACUGGGACUGAGACACGGUCCAGACUCCUACGGGAGGCAGCAGGGGGGAAUAUUCCACAAUGGGCGAAAGCCUGACGCAGCCAUGCCGCGUGUAUGAAGAAGGCCUUCGGGUUGUAAAGUACUUUCAGCGGGGAGGCGUUACCCGCAGAAGAAGCACCGGCUAACGCCGUGCCAGCAGCCGCGGGAAAUC
This 406-nucleotide ribosomal RNA is filed under the name uncultured bacterium. Its description in RNAcentral is "partial 16S ribosomal RNA". It matches the Rfam family "Bacterial small subunit ribosomal RNA", at positions 29 to 526 of the family's 1533-position model. The record is from RNAcentral.